This 158-nucleotide ribosomal RNA is filed under the name Blautia massiliensis (ex Durand et al. 2017). RNAcentral describes it as "partial 23S ribosomal RNA". It matches the Rfam family "Bacterial large subunit ribosomal RNA", at positions 2768 to 2925 of the family's 2925-position model. Lineage: Bacteria; Bacillati; Bacillota; Clostridia; Lachnospirales; Lachnospiraceae. The record is from RNAcentral.
ACGCUGAAGGCAUCUAAGCGUGAAGCCCCCCUCAAGAUGAGAUAUCCCAUUCUUAGUGAAGUAAACCCCCUUGAAGACGACGAGGUAGAUAGGGCAGAGGUGGAAGUGUGGCAACACAUGGAGCUGACUGUUACUAAUCGGGUGAGGGCUUGACCAAG